RNAcentral lists this ribosomal RNA (322 nucleotides) under Democrinus cf. brevis GWR-2010. RNAcentral's name for it is "partial 16S ribosomal RNA". The stretch from base 144 to 322 matches the Rfam family "Bacterial large subunit ribosomal RNA", at positions 2085 to 2610 of the family's 2925-position model. The record is from RNAcentral. Lineage: Eukaryota; Metazoa; Echinodermata; Crinoidea; Bourgueticrinida; Bourgueticrinidae.
UAAGAAAAACUUUAUAACAAAAAAAACAAGUAAAAAUACAUAAUAAUGCUAUAAUAAAAAUAUCUUUGGUUGGGGCAACCUUGAAGAAUAAGCAACCUUCAAAACUAUAAAAAAUAAACAAAUUUAAAAUUAAUAAUAAUAACAAGACCCAGUAUAUCUGAUUAAAGAAAUUAGUUACCGCAGGGAUAACAGCGUUAUUCUCUUUGAGAGCCCAUAUUGACAAGAGAGUUUGCGACCUCGAUGUUGGACCGGGGAAUCCCAGGAAUGCAGAAGUUCCUAAUAGUAAGUCUGUUCGACUUUUAAAACCCUACGCGAUCUGAGU